CCUACGGGAGGCAGCAGUCGGGAAUAUUGCGCAAUGGAGGAAACUCUGACGCAGUGACGCCGCGUGCAGGAAGAAGGUUUUCGGAUUGUAAACUGCUUUAGACAGGGAAGUAAAAAGACAGUACCUGUAGAAUAAGCUUCGGCUAACUACGUGCCAGCAGCCGCGGUAAUACGUAGGUGGCAAGCGUUGUCCGGAUUUACUGGGUGUAAAGGGCGUGUAGCCGGGAAGGCAAGUCAGAGGUGAAAUCUGGAGGCUCAACCUCCAAAUUGCAGUUGAAACUGUUUUUCUUGAGUACUGGAGAGGCAGACGGAAUUCCUGGUGUAGCGGUGAAAUGCGUAGAUAUAAGGAAGAACACCAGUGGCGAAGGCGGUCUGCUGGACAGCAACUGACGGUGAGGCGCGAAAGCGUGGGGAGCAAACAGGAUUAGAUACCCUAGUAGUC
This 441-nucleotide ribosomal RNA is filed under the name uncultured bacterium. Its description in RNAcentral is "partial 16S ribosomal RNA". It matches the Rfam family "Bacterial small subunit ribosomal RNA", at positions 338 to 795 of the family's 1533-position model. The record is from RNAcentral.